GAUCCUGGCUCAGGAUGAACGCUAGCUACAGGCUUAACACAUGCAAGUCGAGGGGAAACGACAUUGGAAGCUUGCUUCCUUUGGGCGUCGACCGGCGCACGGGUGAGUAGCGCGUAUCCAACCUUCCCGCAAGUAAGGGAUAACCCGUAGAAAUGCGGCCUAAUACCUUAUGUUUUCCUUAGAGGGCAUCUGAUGAGGAACAAAGAUCCGUCGCUUGCGGAUGGGGAUGCGUCUGAUUAGUUAGUCGGG
RNAcentral lists this ribosomal RNA (249 nucleotides) under uncultured bacterium. Its description in RNAcentral is "partial 16S ribosomal RNA". It matches the Rfam family "Bacterial small subunit ribosomal RNA", at positions 15 to 253 of the family's 1533-position model. The record is from RNAcentral.